Molecule: ribosomal RNA, 458 nt
Filed under: uncultured bacterium
Lineage: Bacteria
Description: partial 16S ribosomal RNA
Rfam family: Bacterial small subunit ribosomal RNA
Source: RNAcentral
CCUACGGGGGGCAGCAGUGAGGAAUAUUGGUCAAUGGCCGUAAGGCUGAACCAGCCAAGUAGCGUGAGGGAAGACUGCCCUAUGGGUUGUAAACCUCUUUUGUCGGGGAGCAAAAGCCGGACGUGUCCGGCUGUGAGAGUACCCGAAGAAAAAGCAUCGGCUAACUCCGUGCCAGCAGCCGCGGUAAUAGGGAGGAUGCGAGCGUUAUCCGGGUUUUUUGGGUUUAAAGGGUGCGCAGGCGGGUUUUUAAGUUAGCGGUAAAAUCGUGGGGCUCAACCCCAUCCAGCCGUUGAAACUGGGGAUCUAGAGUGUGCGAGAGGUAUGCGGAAUGCGUGGUGUAGCGGUGAAAUGCAUAGAUAUCACGCAGAACCCCGAUUGCGAAGGCAGCAUACCGGUGCACAACUGACGCUCAGGCACGAAAGCGUGGGUAUCGAACAGGAUUAGAUACCCCAGUAGUC